GAACGCUUUCUACAGGCUUAACACAUGCAAGUCGAGGGGCAUCAGGAAGAAAGCUUGCUUUCUUUGCUGGCGACCGGCGCACGGGUGAGUAACACGUAUCCAACCUGCCCUUUACUCGGGGAUAGCCUUUCGAAAGAAAGAUUAAUACCCGAUAGCAUAAUGAUUCCGCAUGGUUUCAUUAUUAAAGGAUUCCGGUAAAGGAUGGGGAUGCGUUCCAUUAGGUUGUUGGUGAGGUAACGGCCCACCAAGCCUUCGAUGGAUAGGGGUUCUGAGAGGAAGGUCCCCCACAUUGGAACUGAGACACGGUCCAAACUCCUACGGGAGGCAGCAGUGAGGAAUAUUGGUCAAUGGGCGCUAGCCUGAACCAGCCAAGUAGCGUGAAGGAUGAAGGCUCUAUGGGUCGUAAACUUCUUUUAUAUAAGAAUAAAGUGCAGUAUGUAUACUGUUUUGUAUGUAUUAUAUGAAUAAGGAUCGGCUAACUCCGUGCCAGCAGCCGCGGUAAUACGGAGGAUCCGAGCGUUAUCCGGAUUUAUUGGGUUUAAAGGGAGCGUAGGUGGACUGGUAAGUCAGUUGUGAAAGUUUGCGGCUCAACCGUAAAAUUGCAGUUGAUACUGUCAGUCUUGAGUACAGUAGAGGUGGGCGGAAUUCGUGGUGUAGCGGUGAAAUGCUUAGAUAUCACGAAGAACUCCGAUUGCGAAGGCAGCUCACUGGACUGCAACUGACACUGAUGCUCGAAAGUGUGGGUAUCAAACAGGAUUAGAUACCCUGGUAGUCCACACAGUAAACGAUGAAUACUCGCUGUUUGCGAUAUACAGUAAGCGACCAAGCGAAAGCAUUAAGUAUUCCACCUGGGGAGUACGCCGGCAACGGUGAAACUCAAAGGAAUUGACGGGGGCCCGCACAAGCGGAGGAACAUGUGGUUUAAUUCGAUGAUACGCGAGGAACCUUACCCGGGCUUAAAUUGCAGUGGAAUGAUGUGGAAACAUGUCAGUGAGCAAUCACCGCUGUGAAGGUGCUGCAUGGUUGUCGUCAGCUCGUGCCGUGAGGUGUCGGCUUAAGUGCCAUAACGAGCGCAACCCUUAUCUUUAGUUACUAACAGGUUAUGCUGAGGACUCUAGAGAGACUGCCGUCGUAAGAUGUGAGGAAGGUGGGGAUGACGUCAAAUCAGCACGGCCCUUACGUCCGGGGCUACACACGUGUUACAAUGGGGGGUACAGAAGGCAGCUAGCGGGUGACCGUAUGCUAAUCCCAAAAUCCUCUCUCAGUUCGGAUCGAAGUCUGCAACCCGACUUCGUGAAGCUGGAUUCGCUAGUAAUCGCGCAUCAGCCACGGCGCGGUGAAUACGUUCCCGGGCCUUGUACACACCGCCCGUCAAGCCAUGGGAGCCGGGGGUACCUGAAGUACGUAACCGCAAGGAUCGUCCUAGGGUAAAACUGGUGACU
RNAcentral lists this ribosomal RNA (1442 nucleotides) under uncultured organism. RNAcentral describes it as "SSU rRNA". It matches the Rfam family "Bacterial small subunit ribosomal RNA". The record is from RNAcentral.